UUUUUCAGACGCAGCUCAACCUGCUCCUGGAGAAACUACGCAGCACGGGUUCUAGUUUCAUUCGCUGCAUCAAACCAAACCUGAAGAUGAUCAGUCACCAGUUUGAAGGAGCCCAGAUCCUCUCACAACUACAGUGCUCCGGGAUGGUCUCGGUCUUGGACUUGAUGCAGGGCGGGUUUCCGUCCAGAGCUCCGUUCCACGAACUUUACAACAUGUACCAGAAAUACAUGCCCCCGAAACUGUGUCGCCUCGACCCGAGACUCUUCUGCAAGG
Molecule: long non-coding RNA, 273 nt
Organism: Boleophthalmus pectinirostris (great blue-spotted mudskipper)
Lineage: Eukaryota; Metazoa; Chordata; Actinopteri; Gobiiformes; Gobiidae
Exons: 3
Source: RefSeq, a predicted model, not a curated record